UUUAAGGCUUCACUAGAAGCCAUUAUUAUUAUAGCUAGAAUGAAA
Non-coding RNA from Plasmodium gonderi, 45 nucleotides. The record is from Rfam. Lineage: Eukaryota; Apicomplexa; Aconoidasida; Haemosporida; Plasmodiidae.